AUUGAACGCUGGCGGCAUGCUUUACACAUGCAAGUCGAACGGCAGCGAGGAGAAGCUUGCUUCUCUGUCGGCGAGUGGCGAACGGGUGAGUAUAGCAUCGGAACGUGCCAAGUAGUGGGGGAUAACCAAACGAAAGUUUGGCUAAUACCGCGUAAGCUCUAAGGAGGAAAGUAGGGGACCUAAAUAAGGCCUUACGCUAUUUGAUCGGCCGAUGUCGGAUUAGCUAGUUGGUGGGGUAAUGGCUCACCAAGGCAAUGAUCCGUAGCGGGUCUGAGAGGACGAUCCGCCACACUGGGACUGAGACACGGCCCAGACUCCUACGGGAGGCAGCAGUGGGGAAUUUUGGACAAUGGGGGAAACCUUGAUCCAGCCAUGCCGCGUGUAUGAAGAAGGCCUUAGGGUUGUAAAGUACUUUUGUUAGGGAAGAAAAGCUAGUUUUUAAUAAAAAUUAGUGAUGACGGUACCUAAAGAAUAAGCACCGGCUAACUACGUG
RNAcentral lists this ribosomal RNA (493 nucleotides) under uncultured bacterium. RNAcentral's name for it is "partial 16S ribosomal RNA". It matches the Rfam family "Bacterial small subunit ribosomal RNA", at positions 30 to 507 of the family's 1533-position model. The record is from RNAcentral.